This 492-nucleotide ribosomal RNA is filed under the name uncultured bacterium. RNAcentral's name for it is "bacterial SSU rRNA". It matches the Rfam family "Bacterial small subunit ribosomal RNA", at positions 34 to 507 of the family's 1533-position model. The record is from RNAcentral.
CGCUGGCGGCAUGCCUAAUACAUGCAAGUCGAACGCUGAAGCACUCUGCUUGCAGAGUGCGGAUGAGUGGCGAACGGGUGAGUAACACGUGGGAAAUCUGCCUAGGAGUGGGGAUAACAUUCGGAAACGGAUGCUAAUACCGCAUAUCUUUUUGAACCGCAUGGUUCUUAAACGAAAGACGGCUUCGGCUGUCGCUCUUAGAUGAUCCCGCGGCGUAUUAGUUAGUUGGUGGGGUAAAGGCCUACCAAGACCAUGAUACGUAGCCGACCUGAGAGGGUGAUCGGCCACACUGGGACUGAGACACGGCCCAGACUCCUACGGGAGGCAGCAGUGGGGAAUCUUCCGCAAUGGGCGAAAGCCUGACGGAGCAAUGCCGCGUGAGUGAUGAAGGAAUUCGUUCCGUAAAGCUCUUUUGUUUAUGACGAAUGUGCAGACUGUGAAUAAUGGUUUGUAAUGACGGUAGUAAACGAAUAAGCCACGGCUAACUACGUG